RNAcentral lists this long non-coding RNA (857 nucleotides) under Olea europaea subsp. europaea. Lineage: Eukaryota; Viridiplantae; Streptophyta; Magnoliopsida; Lamiales; Oleaceae. The record is from RNAcentral.
CAACAUUUGAGAAAAGAGAGGUAACCAAGUGGGAGCUUUCCAUAACUCUGGCGAAAUUCUUGGUGGCUUUCGACAGAUCCUUUCUCGGUAUAUCCAUUGCCAUUCCUGUGGACGACGGUGCAUGAUCCAGUGUGGCACAAAUCUGAGCUCAACAUCAAGAACACUUCAUUGGUGGUGUUGAAGAAGCUUUGAGUCGGUUUUGGUUUGGUUUUACACUUUGAGAGUUUAUUAUUCCGUAUUGUAGUUUUAAUAAUCUUUUGUAUUCUACACUUUAAACUUUACAAAUGGUAUCAGAGCUUAGGCUAGUGUUAAAAAGUGUUAAAACAACCUGAAAAUCGGAUUGGAAGUCGAAAGGGUUCGAUUUUGUUUGAAAACAAGUUGAGCAGAAAUUUUGAACCCAUUUUCUGGAAAAACUACACAUCUGAUGGACGAAGGAGACCAUCGCCAGACUCUAGACAUCAAGCAAAACAUUUCGGUGCAGUGCGUGUUGGACACACGCCGGCGGUGGAGGUGGCGCGUAAGACCACGCGCAGAGAAUAAGGGCGACGCUUGAGGGUGCAUGAGGAGUUUUCAGCCGGAGGUCAAAAAAGACAGAUUGUUCCUUGAUGAAUUUCUGACCUUCUGGUGGUGUUGGAUUUCAGUUUGGUGCACUGUGGAAGCAGAUACAGUCUCGGGCAGAAAAGUGAAAACGGAGAAACUUUUCCGUUGGUGGCUCGGUGGUGUUUCCUGGUAUUUUAGCAGCUGUUGGAUGACUUAGGGCAGUUACUAGAGGCUUCAAAUCGAUAAAGACUCACAUCUUUCCUUAAAAUAUGAACCAAUAGAUUGGUUCGCUCUGUUUGCGCAUUCUAACACCUUCU